UACGAAGGGGGCUAGCGUUGCUCGGAAUUACUGGGCGUAAAGGGCGCGUAGGCGGAUAGUUUAGUCAGAGGUAAAAGCCCAGGGCUCAACCUUGGAACUGCCUUUGAUACUGGCUAUCUCGAGUACGGGAGAGGUGUGUGGAACUCCGAGUGUAGAGGUGAAAUUCGUAGAUAUUCGGAAGAACACCAGUGGCGAAGGCGACACACUGGCCCGUUACUGACGCUGAGGCGCGAAAGCGUGGGGAGCAAACAGG
Molecule: ribosomal RNA, 253 nt
Filed under: uncultured bacterium
Lineage: Bacteria
Description: partial 16S ribosomal RNA
Rfam family: Bacterial small subunit ribosomal RNA
Source: RNAcentral